ACGAUUUACCAAACUGCUAUGGAAGAUGAGUUCGUAAGUUCUAAUACUUAUAAUAGUACUUAACCAGCGCUAACAUACAAUUAUAAUAAGUGGGAAUCUAAAAUCAUGAAAUUCGCCAACACUUAGACUAAAAAACCCUUAAGCGCCAACACUUAGUCAUUUCCCCCCUUUAUCGAAAUUUUCUCUUUGACUUAACACACUCUCAAAUUGACUCUCAGAAUCGACUCUCACACUCUCAAAUUUUGACUCACCGACCCAGUAACCUCACCAGCCGCUGCCUCCAUUGAAGAUAGCCGCAGCCUGUUAUCCUUUGCCAACACCAAUUUCUGCUUGUACGAAUGCAAUAUUUCUGGAAUUAAAGCUUUCCCUUUGCUAUAAUCACAGGACCACAGUUGAUCAUGUUUCACAGCAAAUUGAAGAGUCUAAACAUUUGGAAGAAACACAACAUUUAGAGGAAACACAGCCUGGAAGAACAUCUGAAGAUGCUGAACAGCCUGAAGAUGAGAUUGAAUUGUCUGAAGAUGCUGAAAACGCAAAUGCACCUAAGCGGAAGAGACAUAGAGGCCCAACAUUGAUGAAAAACAUAGCAAAGGAUCCAAAUAUCAGAGAGCGAGUUGAUUUCAUAGCCUUAGGCGAACCUUGCGGUCCUGGUUCGGUUAAGCUGUCAUCCUACUUAGGUCCAUUGGUACGAGAACAUGUGCCUGUGACAGUUGAGGGUUGGUUGAAAACUAGCAAAGAAGUCAAAACUGUGAUGUGGAGAUCUAUCCAGGCAAGGUUCGAACUUGAUCAUGAGUAUCAAAAGAAAGCUAUUUUCAAGCAGAUGGGUUGUCUAUGGAAGUCAUCCAAGUCAAGCUAAGUAAAUAAGAUUAACAAAGCCUCAACUAACCAACAAAGGAUGAAUCUGCGACCCGGCAAUGUUUCUCCAACUGGAUUUUCAUACAAAAGAUGAUGUGGUUGUUGCUGAAGGUCGUUGGCAUACAACUGAAGAAGAAGCAUUGGUGAAUGGAGUUCCACUAGGACCAAAUGCAUUUAAAUUAUUUGUGGAUGAAAUAAUUCAACCUAGAUCAUUUAUAUGGCGGCCUAUGAAGGGUAUCGCAUACCUAGAGGACUGCUUUAAGUUGUAUGUGUCAUGGCCUGCCGCAAAAGUUGUCUUAGAAGGCACCACAGAUGCAAGAGGUCAUAAAUCUCCAGUUGAUAUUGCUCAAGGAACAUGUGGAAAAGGUGCUGCAAAAGGUUCUACAUCUCCUACUGAGAAGUCUCUAGCCUCAAAAGAUCCAAAAGAUGCAGUAAAAGGUUCUACAUCGCCUUCUAGGAAGUGUCUACCCUCAAAAGGUCAAAAAGCUGCAACAAAUGGUUCUACAUCUUCUACUGAGAAGUCUCGAGCAUCCAAAGGUCUAAAGGCUUCAGGAAAAGGUUCUAUAUCUCGUGUUGAGAAGUCUCCAGCGCAAAAGGUACUCAGGGGUCCCCUCUUCGAAGAUCCCAUGUAAUUAUGAAUGAAGUUGCUUCUGGUAAUUAUGAAUGAAGUUGCUUCUGGUACUUGUUAGUGUUAAGGUAAUGAACAGUUUAUAAUGUUGACAUGGCAACGUAAGGAAAAUUCCAAUACAGUGUUCAAGGAAAAUCAGAUGUGCAAGUUGGUGGAACUUGCAAAUGGAAAGCGGAUUGUCGCUCAAGCACUCUGGAUUUCAAAUGACCCAGACCAAAAUAUACACUGUGUUCGCUUGGGGUAUAAUGGAGUUAAAGUUCUGGUUAAGACAGUAGACAUAUCUGAUGCAGCAGUUUGGAAGCCAUCUUCUGCAAUCGAGUGUAUGGACAAUGAACUUGGGACAUAUAUUGCAUGGCCAGAGGAUAAAGUUGUCAUGGUUUGAGUUCAACAAACUAAGGGAAUGAAGAAAACUUGGUCCAGAUUAGCUAGUUUUACUUAAUUUAAAACUGAGCUAACUUUGCCUUUAUGGCUUCUUUAGUGUAGUAUUCAGACCUGUCUUUUGGAUUGAUAGUUAGUCUACUUAUGUGACUUGGAUUGAG
Molecule: long non-coding RNA, 2022 nt
Organism: Eutrema salsugineum
Lineage: Eukaryota; Viridiplantae; Streptophyta; Magnoliopsida; Brassicales; Brassicaceae
Exons: 5
Source: RefSeq, a predicted model, not a curated record